Phyllostomus hastatus (greater spear-nosed bat) is the source of this 103-nucleotide small nuclear RNA. NCBI's taxonomy places the organism in Eukaryota, Metazoa, Chordata, Mammalia, Chiroptera, Phyllostomidae. The record is from RefSeq and is a predicted model, not a curated record.
UUUGGAUCCUCCUUUAUAUAUUAAAAUUGAAAUGAUACAGAGAAGAUUAGCAUGGCCCCUGUGUAAGGAUGACAUGAAAACUUGUGAAGUUUUAGAUUUUUUG